This 440-nucleotide ribosomal RNA is filed under the name uncultured bacterium. Its description in RNAcentral is "partial 16S ribosomal RNA". It matches the Rfam family "Bacterial small subunit ribosomal RNA", at positions 338 to 795 of the family's 1533-position model. The record is from RNAcentral.
CCUACGGGUGGCAGCAGUGGGGGAUAUUGCACAAUGGGGGGAACCCUGAUGCAGCGACGCCGCGUGGGUGAAGAAGCGCCUCGGCGCGUAAAGCCCUGUCAGCAGGGAAGAAAAUGACGGUACCUGAAGAAGAAGCCCCGGCUAACUACGUGCCAGCAGCCGCGGUAAUACGUAGGGGGCAAGCGUUAUCCGGAUUUACUGGGUGUAAAGGGGGCGCAGACGGGGAUGCAGGCCAGGAGUGAAAGCCCGGGGCUCAACCCCGGGACUGCUCUUGGAACUGCGUGGCUGGAGUGCAGGAGGGGCAGGCGGAAUGCCUGGUGUAGCGGUGAAAUGCGUAGAUAUCAGGAGGAACACCGGUGGCGAAGGCGGCCUGCUGGACUGCAACUGACGUUGAGGCCCGAAAGCGUGGGGAGCAAACAGGAUUAGAUACCCUAGUAGUC